AGACACGUAAAAUUUAAAAGGUCGAACAGACCCAAUAUUUUAGCUUCUGCACCAAAAAUUAAUUUUAAUCCAACAUCGAGGUCGCAAACUCCUUCAUCGAUUAGAACUCUCCGAAAAAAUUACGCUGUUAUCCCUAAGGUAAUUUAGUCUUAUAGUCCAAAAAUCAGGAUCAUUUAUUCAUAAAUUAAUGUUAUAAAAUAUAAAAAGUUUAUUAAGUUUUUAUGUCACCCCAACAAAAUACUGUAAAAACUGAACUUUAACAAAACCUAAAAGAAACAAUAAAAACAAUAUUAAACUCUAUAGGGUCUUCUCGUCUUUAUAAAACAUUUAAGCUUUUUCACUCAAAGAUUAAAAUUCUAAAAAAGUUUUAUUGAGACAGUUAUUUUUUCAUCAAACCAUUCAUUCCAGCUCUCAAUUAAAAAACUAAUGAUUAUGCUACCUUAGCACAGUCAAAAUACUGCGGCCAUUCAAAUUAAUCAUUGGGCAGGUCAGACC
RNAcentral lists this ribosomal RNA (495 nucleotides) under Scytosoma scalaris. RNAcentral describes it as "partial 16S ribosomal RNA". Lineage: Eukaryota; Metazoa; Arthropoda; Insecta; Coleoptera; Tenebrionidae. The record is from RNAcentral.